This 402-nucleotide ribosomal RNA is filed under the name uncultured bacterium. Its description in RNAcentral is "bacterial SSU rRNA". It matches the Rfam family "Bacterial small subunit ribosomal RNA", at positions 975 to 1375 of the family's 1533-position model. The record is from RNAcentral.
CUGGGCUUGAACGUAUGGUGCAUUAUGGAGAAAUUCAUAUUUCUAGCAAUAGACUUCAUACGAGGUGCUGCAUGGCUGUCGUCAGCUCGUGCCGUGAGGUGUUAGGUUAAGUCCUGCAACGAGCGCAACCCUUGUCUUUAGUUGCCAGCAUGUAAUGAUGGGGACUCUAGAGAGACUGCCUGCGCAAGCAGAGAGGAAGGUGGGGAUGACGUCAAGUCAGCACGGCCCUUACGCCCAGGGCUACACACGUGCUACAAUGGCCGGUACAGAGGGCAGCGACCUGGUGACAGGUAGCCAAUCUUCAAAGCCGGUCUCAGUUCGGAUCGGAGUCUGCAACUCGACUCCGUGAAGUUGGAUUCGCUAGUAAUCGCGCAUCAGCCAUGGCGCGGUGAAUACGUUCCC